Molecule: non-coding RNA, 1397 nt
Organism: Sus scrofa (pig)
Lineage: Eukaryota; Metazoa; Chordata; Mammalia; Artiodactyla; Suidae
Source: RefSeq, a predicted model, not a curated record
UGGAAAUGACAGGCACAGAAGGAACCAAUCUAACUCUUCCCUCUUCCUUUUCAGUGGCAGCCUGGCCUGGCAAAGGCUUAUAGUCUUUCCCCCGCUCUUCCAGAUUAUUUCUGAGCAUUAGCACCACGUUGAUGCUCUCAAAAAUCACACUGGCUGCUAUUCCCCUUGGACAGUGUCUCAGCCACCAACUCUAAAUGCCUUCAGAUGUUCAAGUCAGCAGAUCAAGCACCCUCCUCAUUGGCCAUGGUGUUGUCAGCUCGUCAGCAAGUGUUUACGGCAUGUCCCCUGGGUGCCAUCUCUGCGCCAGGUGCUCUGUGCUCCUGGCUUAUAUGUGUGAAGAAAACAGUUAAUUGACUGCUGGACGUGCUGUUCUGGAAGGGUUCUGAUGCUUUGCUAGAGAACCAGCCAGUAAGAUGGGGUCUCUCUAGAACGGUGUGGAUCCCCAGACACACAAGUACUCGGAUGUCCAAAAGGAAUGAAUUAACCUUAUUCUGAAGAUGGGAAAACUGAACAGCAGAGAUUAAAUACCUUUCUGGAUCAGUCAAAUUCUGGUUUGCAAGCUCAGAAGAUUACUUUGGCUGAUAAAGCAGAAACAGAAUACUGGAAGGCUUUGGGGAAGCUCACCGAGAACCAUGGCUAGGCCUCCAGAGUAUGCCUGCAUGUCUGCAGAACUGGUCCGAGGAGCAAAGCACCGCCACUCUUACAGAGCACUAGCUGCCAGGAUCAGGACCACUGCCAUUUUUGCGCAGGUACUCUUCAACUGCUCCUGCUGUUGCUGUAAGCACCACGCCUCUUUUGUGCCUGACAUUCCACUUUUCAGCUGUCAUGACUCCCACUACCCUCUGCCACUUCUUUCUUGUCUCAUCAGCUCCCAUGUAAAAAUUUGGCCAAGCGGUCUGAUCAGGAGAACACAAAUCUGGGCGGUAGCAGCAAGGGAGGCUAAGGAAGGAAGAAUUGGAAUUUUCAGCUUCUCUGAGAGGCUGUUUAGCUUCCUUCUCAGGGAGGAAAUUCCCCCUAAAUAGGAAGGGGUUCAGAUGCAGGCAGCCAAGCAAAAGUCACAUGCCCUUCAGAGCUGCCAAUUUGACACGGCCAGUGAAGGCUGGAGUUGGCACUCUCUUUCCAGAGCCCACUACUUCAUAGCCUUUCUUUCUAUCCAUCAAGUGAAAGGAGAUGCUUGCUUCUAAAAAUUCAUUGAACAAAGUAUUGAAUAUUUUUGUCAUGUCACUAAGUGAUGGGGUGCCAAGGUCAAAAGACACUGUCCUUUCCCUCAAGGUGAUAGCUUAUCAAGCCCUCAUCCUAUGGUCACGGGCAGCAAUGAUUGAUGACUAGUACAUUCAUUACCUUCUGUACCAGGUGCGUCGUAUCUGUUUUCUCUAGUCCCUGACAACAACCCUGCA